Molecule: non-coding RNA, 95 nt
Organism: Termitomyces sp. Mi166#008
Lineage: Eukaryota; Fungi; Basidiomycota; Agaricomycetes; Agaricales; Lyophyllaceae
Source: the annotation of a GenBank genome assembly
GGGUCGAUGGCGUAGUUGGUUAUCGCAUCUGUCUAACAUGGUCCAAAGGAUGGAUGGUUCACAGAAGGUCCUCAGUUCAAACCUGGGUCGACUCA